RNAcentral lists this ribosomal RNA (395 nucleotides) under uncultured bacterium. RNAcentral describes it as "bacterial SSU rRNA". It matches the Rfam family "Bacterial small subunit ribosomal RNA", at positions 28 to 408 of the family's 1533-position model. The record is from RNAcentral.
GACGAACGCUGGCGGCGUGCCUAACACAUGCAAGUCGUGCGAGAAAGUUCCUUCGGGAGCGAGUAAAGCGGCGCACGGGUGAGUAACACGUAGGUAACCUGCCCCCCAGUCUGGAACAACUAGAGGAAACUCUAGCUAAUGCCGGAUGAGACCACGAUCCCUUCGGGGGUUGCGGCCAAAGAUGGCCUCUACUUGUAAGCUAUCGCUGAGGGAUGGGCCUGCGGGCCAUUAGCUUGUUGGUGAGGUAACGGCUCACCAAGGCUGUGAUGGCUAGCUGGUCUGAGAGGAUGACCAGCCACACUGGGACUGAGACACGGCCCAGACUCCUACGGGAGGCAGCAGUGGGAAUAUUGCGCAAUGGGCGAAAGCCUGACGCAGCGACGCCGCGUGGGUGA